AUAUAAACUAAAGAAGCAAAUGAAAGGAAAUAGAAACAGAAUGAAACGAAACAGAGAGCAGGGGAGAAAAAGAAAGAAAGAAGGAGAGAAAAGGGAAAAUUGAAGGUUUGAAGCUUUAAGCUUUAAUAGGUUAAGUAAAGAUAGUACGUUGAAUCAGCAUCCCAAGACGAUCCCGAAUUCAUUAAGGUAAAGUAUGUUGAGUAUUGAUAAUGGCAUGUACCCAGGAUGUUUAAUGAGAGUCAUUUAGGUUAUAAAAGUAUUGAUGAAAUGAGUAAAUUAUGGUUGGCAACGGUAUGUAGUAUGAAUUUUGAAAUUUACUAAAAAUUCGUAGUGAUUCUAAAUUAGUCCCGAAUUAAAUUUACUGUUCAUAUUGGACCGCGAGGGCCCAUUAAAGGGACGACAUCUUAAAACUAGGAUGUGUGUGAAUAUUUAUUUUAAUUAAUGACUGAAA
Gossypium arboreum is the source of this 451-nucleotide long non-coding RNA. RefSeq lists it as uncharacterized. The record is from RefSeq and is a predicted model, not a curated record. The transcript is spliced from 2 exons. Lineage: Eukaryota; Viridiplantae; Streptophyta; Magnoliopsida; Malvales; Malvaceae.